This 1875-nucleotide long non-coding RNA is filed under the name Homo sapiens (human). RNAcentral describes it as "non-protein coding lnc-THUMPD2-1:1". The record is from RNAcentral. Lineage: Eukaryota; Metazoa; Chordata; Mammalia; Primates; Hominidae.
AUGCAUAAUAUACAUAAUGUUUUGCUACUUGCUUUUUGCUUAUUAUAUCCUUGGACAUCUUCCCAUGUCAAUAAUAUAAAUUAUGUCAUUUGUAAAAUGGAAAUAUGAUAGUUAUAAAAACUAACUUAAUACUUAUAAAUAAGGUAGAACAAUGUCUACCUUACAUAACAUAAUAAUUGCUUAACUAAGAUUAGCUAUUGUUUUGUCAUUGGAAAACUGUUCCAUAAUUUGAAUAAUCUAUUGAUGGGCAUGUAGACUGCUUUCAGUUUUCCCCUACUACAAAUAAUAUGGAAUUGACCAACUUUAUAUGUAGGCUUGAUAUGUAUAAUGUUACUAGGAUACGUUUUCAGCAGUGGAAAUACUGGAUUAUAGAGAAUAUACCUGUACCCAUCAUAUAUUUCAGCCAAAGCCCAUCCUUCUAUACCUGCUUUGUGACCCUCGGGUGGGAAUCAGUAAACUGCCUUUUCCAGACUGGCUUGCCAACUGGCUUUUGAUUUCUCCAAGGAAGAUAUUGCCAAAUCAAGCUCAAAAAUGGCUGUAUCAAUUUGUAUUCCCACCAACAAUAUAUGAAAAGGCUUCUUUCCCAAACUGUGGAGUUAAAAAAAAAAAGUGUAGGACCCCAUUCCAAGCCUACUGAGAACUGGGUGGGACCUGGACACAAUGUAUUUUCCAAAAGCACUAUAAAUGAUCCCAAUGCACAGCCAGGUAAGAACCAUUGUUCUAGAUAUUUGAUUCUCAAAGUGUGGUCCCCAGAUGGGCAGUGUCAGCCCUGGGAGUCUGUUAGAAAUGCAUCAUCUCAGAAGCUAUAUUUUAACAGGAGCCCCAGGAGAUUCAAAUGCACAUUGAAGUUUGAGAAACACUGCUCUAGAAAGGAUACAGCAACAGGCCUAGAUUUUGUGGGGCCUAAAGCUUACAUAAUCUGGGGAGUCCUUUUUACUGAAAAAUAUACAAAAUUACAAACAAAGAUGGAGUACAAAUUUAAUAUUUACUUACAAUGAAGUAAUAAAUCCUGAUUAAAUACAAAAUUUUAAAAGCCGAAAAGUACCAUAAACAUCACAAAAUUCUGGAGGAAAAAAGGAAAAAACGCAUUUAUUCAUGAGCUGCCUAAUGCACGUCUAUAUUUUUGUAAAUUUUUAGCUAUUUCUUUGCAUGAUAAAAAAAAUUUCUAUGAUCUUUCUAUAGAGAGAUGAGAAUUAAUUCAGUCAGCUAGAAAUUUGUGUUUUAUUCUUGGUAAUCUAGAAGAGCUUUUUUUUUUCAACUUUCAACUCAUUAUAAUAUCAUGUAAAAUUUUUUAGAAUUUGGUCCAGUUAGGAUAAGUUCCAUCCAAUGUCUUUCAUGGGAGCUGUAAGAGUCAUGGCAUUUCAUGGUUCUCAUCCAGUGGCUAAUUUUAAAUGCCCUUGGAAUCAAGGACAGUCAGACAUCCUUGUGCAGAGCAUUACUUUCAUGUUUCUUCUCCUCUUCUGUUCUGUGCCCCAGAGUGUCCCAAUUCACAUAAAUUUCUUUACCUCUUCUGUUAUUGUUUUACCUACAUUUUCUUUGCUCUUGUGAUUCUGAGUUUUUGUUUGUUUUUUAUUUGUUUUUUGUCUUUAUGAGUGUGACCAUCAGAGUUUUUAUCUUCUCUUAUGAAAAAAGAGAGUUCUCAACAUUUUGAAGUCUCUGCUAGUUCCUAAAAGUUCCUUCUUUUCGUUAGAUCUUCAGUUUCCAGUAGGUUCCAGCCUUCCCUUCACAUUUGAGUUUUACAGUAUGAUCAACCACUCUGAAAUGCACCAGAGAUUUAGAUAUGUUUGAAGGUACGAGGGUUCAGUCCUAUCUCUCUCUGGCCAUGAAGCACUCACUGCCUGGGGACAAAGUUGGGAGAGUGCUGAGACAGGGUGC